AAAAUGCUAAAUUUGAUCGGUUUAAGCAUUCAAUUCAGGAUUUUAAGAAUUACAUACAUCGAGCGUAUAUGUUUUACCAGAUUUUAAGUGUAAAAGUUUCUUAAUUUGUUAAACUAUAAGUGCGCGCAGACAUUUCGAAAGACAACAGUAAACCCAAAAAUCAGACGAAGGGACCAGUUAAAAGCGUACAAUCUGUGAUCACUGAUCCUGAUUUUGUAUACGGUAUGGAAACACGACUUUAUUUUCUGCCAAGAUAAAGUUAAGAUCCGACGUUUAGCGAAAACUCACAACUUUCAAAAUUUUUCCAACUCUGGUAAACUAAACACGCGCUGAAUUGAUCAACAUCAAAGCAUUUUUCUUACUGUACAAAUAUACCAGUGCAGUGCAAUCAAAAAUCCAAGUUACUCUUUGAUUGGAAGCGCAUGCCACGUGGCAUAUUGUUUUUGUUUAAUCCGUUUCAGUGUCCGUUGCCAUUAAUUUCUCGUGGCUGCUGUGUUACCACAUAAGCUUCGUUUUUACAUUCACGUGCUUUUUACUACCUCAGUUUUCCCUUUUUUUUUAAUUUAAGGGUUAAUUACAUAUAAUUUUAUGUAAACAAUAUAAAAUUAUAUUUUUUUUAUUUUUAAAUUUUUAUUUUUAUAAAAGUAUUACUGAUUAAUUAGAAAAAUAUAAUUAAUUGUAAAUAAAAUACUUAUUUAUAGUUAAUAAAUAAGUUAAAUUAAUCUUUUUUAUCUAUCUCAUAUUAUUAAAUAAAAUAAUUUGUUAGAUCAUAUUUUUGUAUAAUUCUAACCUUUUGGACUUUUGGAGGGAUAUAUUUAUAAAAAUAAAAAUAUCAUUUUACUUUACUGCUGUUAAAAAAUAAACAGUACUCUAAUAGUAACAAACCAGAUGAAUGAAUAUAAAUAUCAUCAAAUUCUUAUAAAAAUAAAAAUAAAAUGCUAAAUCUUAUAAAAAUAUAUUU
This 961-nucleotide long non-coding RNA is filed under the name Ananas comosus (pineapple). RNAcentral describes it as "long non-coding RNA (ACOM_LNC033531)". Lineage: Eukaryota; Viridiplantae; Streptophyta; Magnoliopsida; Poales; Bromeliaceae. The record is from RNAcentral.